UACAGAGACUGCAAGCGUUAUUCGGAUUCACUGGGCGUAAAGGGUGCGCAGGUGGCCAAGUGUGUCAGGUGUGAAAUCCCGGAGCUUAACUCCGGAACUGCACCUGAAACUGCUUGGCUAGAGCAUCGGAGAGGGAAGUGGAAUUCACGGUGUAGCAGUGAAAUGCGUAGAUAUCGUGAGGAGCACCAGAGGCGAAGGCGACUUCCUGGACAAUUGCUGACACUCAGGCACGAAAGCGUGGGUAGCCAAAGGG
This 253-nucleotide ribosomal RNA is filed under the name uncultured bacterium. Its description in RNAcentral is "partial 16S ribosomal RNA". It matches the Rfam family "Bacterial small subunit ribosomal RNA", at positions 524 to 776 of the family's 1533-position model. The record is from RNAcentral.